UCAUUACUCCUCACUCCUUUCCCAUUUUUCUCCCACUUGCUCCUCUGAUAGCUAAUCUCCCUCGCUCCAUCUCUCCUUCUGUCGCUUUAUCUCUUUACCAUUACUGGUUGAUUCCUUUUUGGUAUCCUCAAAAAGGGUAGUUGCGUUUGAUACUUGCUUCUGCGUCAGCUAAACAACUAAAGAAGCACUUUCUCCCCCCAAAAUUACUGGGAGGUCAGUAUGGCAACUAAAGAAGCAACUAAUGGUGCUAGCGUUACUGUUUCUGCCGUUUCUUCUAAGAUUCCGGCAGCUGCGAACCCUUUGGCUGAAGAUGCUUUAAAGAUUGCAUCCAAUAUUAUUUACCAUGCACAAUACAGCCCUCAUUUCUCCCCUUCCAAGUUCGAGCCGGAGCAAGCUUUCUAUGCCACUGCUGAGAGUGUUCGUGAUCGGCUUGUACAACAAUGGAAUGAGACGUAUCUUCAUUAUCACAAAGUUGAUCCAAAGCAGACAUACUACUUAUCAAUGGAAUAUCUUCAAGGACGAGCUUUGACCAAUGCAAUUGGGAACCUGGACAUUCAAGGCGCAUAUGCUGAUGCUUUAAAUAAGCUGGGACAUGAACUUGAGGAAAUCGUUGAGCAGGAGAAAGAUGCAGCACUUGGAAAUGGUGGUCUAGGGAGACUUGCUUCAUGUUUUCUAGACUCUAUGGCAACACUGAAUUUGCCUGCAUGGGGAUAUGGUCUGAGGUACAGAUAUGGGCUGUUCAAGCAGAGGAUCACCAAGGAGGGCCAAGAAGAAAUUGCUGAGGACUGGCUUGAGAAGUUUAGUCCUUGGGAAGUUGUCAGGCAUGAUGUUGUAUUCCCUGUCAGAUUCUUUGGUCAUGUUCAGGUUAAUCCUGAUGGAUCCCGAAAGUGGGUUGGUGGAGAGAUUGUGCAAGCUCUAGCUUAUGAUGUUCCAAUUCCAGGAUAUAAAACCAAGAAUACUAUUAGUCUUCGCCUCUGGGAAGCAAGAGCUUCUGCUGAGGACUUCAAUCUGUUUCAAUUUAAUGAUGGACAGUAUGAAUCUGCUGCGCAGCUUCAUUCUCGAGCUCAGCAGAUUUGUGCUGUUCUUUAUCCUGGGGAUGCAACAGAAGAAGGAAAGCUUUUGCGGCUGAAGCAACAAUUCUUUCUAUGUAGUGCGUCGCUUCAGGAUAUUAUUAUGAGAUUUAAGGAGAGGAGAACUGGGAAAAGCUCAUGGAAAUGGUCUGAAUUUCCCAGCAAGGUUGCAGUACAACUGAAUGAUACUCAUCCUACCCUUGCAAUUCCCGAGCUGAUGCGAAUUCUAAUGGAUGAUGAAGGAAUUGGGUGGGAUGAAGCCUGGGAUGUGACAACAAGGACCGUUGCUUAUACAAAUCACACAGUCCUUCCUGAAGCAUUAGAGAAGUGGUCACAAACUGUCAUGUGGAAGCUUCUUCCACGCCACAUGGAAAUCAUAGAAGAAAUGGAUAAGAGGUUCAUUGCGCUGAUACGUAGCAGUCGGACUGAUCUUGAGAGUAAGCUUCCCAGCAUGUGCAUCUUGGAUAAUAAUCCCCAAAAGCCAGUUGUUCGGAUGGCGAAUUUGUGUGUGGUUUCUUCACAUACGGUGAAUGGUGUAGCUCAGUUACACAGUGAUAUCUUGAUGUCUGAGUUAUUUGCAGACUAUGUGUCUAUAUGGCCAAAAAAGUUCCAAAAUAAAACAAAUGGAAUUACACCUCGUCGCCGUUGGCUCCGGUUUUGCAGUCCUGAGCUCAGUAACAUAAUUACAAAAUGGUUAAAAACUGAUCGGUGGAUUACCAACCUUGACCUACUUGUAGGUCUCCAAAAGUUUGCGGACAAUGAGGACUUCCAAACUGCAUGGGGCUCUGCCAAGAUGGCUAAUAAGCAACGUUUGGCACAGUACAUACUGCGAGUGACAGGUGUAAGCAUUGAUCCAAAUAGUUUAUUUGACAUACAAGUCAAGCGAAUCCAUGAAUAUAAAAGACAGCUUCUGAAUAUUUUGGGUGCAGUAUAUAGAUACAAGAAAUUGAAGGAGAUGAGUGCUGAAGAGCGGAAGAAUACAACUCCACGCACUGUUAUGAUUGGAGGCAAAGCAUUUGCUACAUAUACAAAUGCUAAAAGAAUAGUGAAGCUGGUAAAUGAUGUUGGCGCUGUUGUCAACAGUGAUCCUGAAGUCAAUAGUUAUUUGAAGGUAGUAUUUGUUCCAAAUUACAAUGUAUCUGUAGCAGAGAUGCUUAUUCCAGGAAGUGAACUAUCACAGCAUAUCAGUACUGCAGGCAUGGAGGCAAGCGGCACAAGCAACAUGAAAUUUGCACUCAAUGGUUGCCUUAUAAUAGGAACUCUGGAUGGGGCUAAUGUGGAAAUUAGGGAGGAAAUAGGAGAGGAAAAUUUCUUUCUCUUUGGUGCAACAGCAGAUGAGGUCCCUAGACUACGCAAGAAAAGAGAGAAUGGAUUGUUCAAACCAGAUCACCGAUUUGAGGAGGCCAAGCAGUUUAUAAGAAGUGGGGCAUUUGGAAGCUACGAUUACAAUCCACUUCUUGAUUCUCUGGAGGGGAACUCUGGUUAUGGCCGUGGUGAUUAUUUUCUUGUUGGGGAUGACUUCCCAAGCUAUUUGGAUGCUCAGAAAAGAGUAGAUGAAGCUUACAAGGAUAGCAAGAGAUGGCUGAAAAUGUCCAUAUUAAGCACCGCUGGCAGUGGCAAAUUCAGUAGCGAUCGCACAAUUGCUCAAUAUGCAAAAGAGAUAUGGAAUAUUGAGGGGUGCCGAGUACCAUAAUUGCUACUAUAUGCCACUCAUCAUUCUAUGUUUAUGAUUGUAAUAAAGCAUGAACAAGCUGGAAAGAAUCAGGGAAAUGUCAAGGGAAAGGAACCAUACUUGUAUCAAAAUAUGCAUAAGUGGA
Molecule: unclassified non-coding RNA, 2887 nt
Filed under: Hevea brasiliensis (rubber tree)
Lineage: Eukaryota; Viridiplantae; Streptophyta; Magnoliopsida; Malpighiales; Euphorbiaceae
Source: RNAcentral